This 569-nucleotide long non-coding RNA is filed under the name Heterocephalus glaber (naked mole-rat). RNAcentral describes it as "lncRNA (ENSHGLG00000031889.1)". The record is from RNAcentral. Lineage: Eukaryota; Metazoa; Chordata; Mammalia; Rodentia; Bathyergidae.
CUUAAUCAUCUAAGCACAAUUCAGAUGUUUUCAAUUAGUCUUUUCAGUUUACAUCAUGGAGGGAGAUGCUGAAUCAGAGUUUACCCAGCCUGCUCUUGCAUCAGGAUUACUGGCUGAGCUUGGUAAAAUUACAGAUCACUCCUAGUAGUUCUGAUCUAGGACCAUUUUGGAGGAAUCUAGAAGCUUUUCGGUUUUGGUGACAACACUGGUAACAUCCAACCUAGUAUCCAAUGACAUCAUAAAGGAAACUUAGAACUGAAUGAUAAUGAAAAUAUAGAGUCAAAAUCUGUAAUGUAAAAUUCAAGCAACAGGGCUACCAGCAUCUGUAGCAUCAGUGACAGCUGUAGUCACCUAUCUUUCCGCCCUUCGGGAGGCACCCUGACCGCCCUCGCCCCAGCACAGCUCUCUCCCUCCCUUAGGGAAGAGGCUCCUCACCUUCAUCGCCACAGAGCCGGAGAGAGAGCCCUGCUAUAGGGCAAUGCCGCCCAAGAUGAGUGGGAGCUGACAGGAGACUCAAACCUACAUCCCUGCCAAAGGCUGUGUGCUCUGAAGUUUAGGAGAAAAGAAAC